This 435-nucleotide ribosomal RNA is filed under the name uncultured bacterium. RNAcentral's name for it is "partial 16S ribosomal RNA". It matches the Rfam family "Bacterial small subunit ribosomal RNA", at positions 29 to 507 of the family's 1533-position model. The record is from RNAcentral.
AACGAACGCUGGCGGCAUGCCUAACACAUGCAAGUCGAACGAUUGCCUUCGGGUGAUAGUGGCGCACGGGUGCGUAACGCGUGGGAAUCUGCCCUUAGGUUCGGAAUAACAGCUGGAAACGGCUGCUAAUACCGGAUGAUAUCGCGAGAUCAAAGAUUUAUCGCCUGAGGAUGAGCCCGCGUUGGAUUAGGUAGUUGGUGGGGUAAAGGCCUACCAAGCCGACGAUCCAUAGCUGAUCUGAGAGGAUGAUCAGCCACACUGGGACUGAGACACGGCCCAGACUCCUACGGGAGGCAGCAGUGGGGAAUAUUGGACAAUGGGCGCAAGCCUGAUCCAGCAAUGCCGCGUGAGUGAUGAAGGCCCUAGGGUUGUAAAGCUCUUUUACCCGGGAAGAUAAUGACUGUACCGGGAGAAUAAGCCCCGGCUAACUCCGUG